AGUGAACGCUGGCGGUAGGCCUAACACAUGCAAGUCGAACGGCAGCACAGUAAGAGCUUGCUCUUACGGGUGGCGAGUGGCGGACGGGUGAGGAAUACAUCGGAAUCUACUUUUUCGUGGGGGAUAACGUAGGGAAACUUACGCUAAUACCGCAUACGACCUACGGGUGAAAGCAGGGGAUCUUCGGACCUUGCGCGAUUGAAUGAGCCGAUGUCGGAUUAGCUAGUUGGCGGGGUAAAGGCCCACCAAGGCGACGAUCCGUAGCUGGUCUGAGAGGAUGAUCAGCCACACUGGAACUGAGACACGGUCCAGACUCCUACGGGAGGCAGCAGUGGGGAAUAUUGGACAAUGGGCGCAAGCCUGAUCCAGCCAUACCGCGUGGGUGAAGAAGGCCUUCGGGUUGUAAAGCCCUUUUGUUGGGAAAGAAAAGCAGCAGGUUAAUACCCCGCUGUUUGACGGUAUCCAAAGAAUAAGCACCGGCUAACUUCGUG
Molecule: ribosomal RNA, 491 nt
Filed under: uncultured bacterium
Lineage: Bacteria
Description: partial 16S ribosomal RNA
Rfam family: Bacterial small subunit ribosomal RNA
Source: RNAcentral